Long non-coding RNA from Poeciliopsis prolifica (blackstripe livebearer), 265 nucleotides. RefSeq lists it as uncharacterized. Lineage: Eukaryota; Metazoa; Chordata; Actinopteri; Cyprinodontiformes; Poeciliidae. The transcript has 3 exons. The record is from RefSeq and is a predicted model, not a curated record.
AGGAGCGACCUCUGAACCUUCUGCCUUUGCUGUCCACCUGGAUGUUGCUCCCGAUCACAGCAAACGGUCAGACCUUGAGGAUCUGUUCCUGUCUCUUGAAGUCUUCGUCCUCAUCCGAGUCGCACUCUGGAAACUGGUAGAUGUUAAUCCCAAACCGCUUGAUCUCAUCCCUCAUCUGAAACAGAAGAAAACUAUCAUGGUGGAAGAGGAAUAAACAAUGAUCAGAGCAUCUCCGAAGCCUGGCGUGUCUAUGAUGGAGAGCCUC